GGAGCCACGUUCCUUGUACAUAGAAGAUGAGAUGGAUGUUGAAGGACAGGAGCCACAUUCCUUGCACACAGAAGAUGAGAUUGAUGUUGUAGGACAGGAGCCACAUUCCUUGCACACAGAAGAUGAGAUUGAUGUUGAAGGACAGGAGCCAUGUUCCUUGCACACAGAAAAUGAGAA
This is a long non-coding RNA of Dicentrarchus labrax (European seabass), 177 nucleotides long. RefSeq lists it as uncharacterized. The record is from RefSeq and is a predicted model, not a curated record. The transcript is spliced from 4 exons. Lineage: Eukaryota; Metazoa; Chordata; Actinopteri; Moronidae.